UACGUAGGGUGCGAGCGUUAAUCGGAAUUACUGGGCGUAAAGCGUGCGCAGGCGGGCUUUUAAGCCAGACGUGAAAUCCCCGGGCUCAACCUGGGAAUGGCGUUUGGGACUGGAAGUCUGGAGUGCGGCAGAGGAGACUGGAAUUCCUGGUGUAGCAGUGAAAUGCGUAGAUAUCAGGAGGAACACCGAUGGCGAAGGCAGGUCUCUGGGCAGUAACUGACGCUGAGGAGCGAAAGCGUGGGGAGCGAACAGG
RNAcentral lists this ribosomal RNA (253 nucleotides) under uncultured bacterium. RNAcentral's name for it is "partial 16S ribosomal RNA". It matches the Rfam family "Bacterial small subunit ribosomal RNA", at positions 524 to 776 of the family's 1533-position model. The record is from RNAcentral.